ACAUACGGGGCUUUAUGUCUUGUAAAUUGGAUGAUGGGAAUUUAAACCUCUUCCAGAGUAUCAAUUGGAGGGCAAGUCUGGUGCCAGCAGCCGCGGUAAUUCCAGCUCCAAUAGCGUAUAUUAAAAUUGUUGCAGUUAAAAAGCUCGUAGUUGAAUUUCUGCUGCAUUGCAUUUUCUCCUAUACGAGUUUUUGCAUUGUGGCUUAUUUCGGUUAUAAAAUUUAUUUUUAUUUCCGGAUGUUUACUUUGAGAAAAUUAGAGUGCUCAAAGCAGGCUUUUGCCUUGAAUAGUUUAGCAUGGAAUAAUAAAGUAGGACUUUGGUUCUAUUUUGUUGGUUUUAGGUACCAAAGUAAUGGUUAAUAGGAACAGUUGGG
This 373-nucleotide ribosomal RNA is filed under the name Theileria capreoli. RNAcentral describes it as "SSU rRNA". It matches the Rfam family "Eukaryotic small subunit ribosomal RNA", at positions 477 to 886 of the family's 1831-position model. The record is from RNAcentral. Lineage: Eukaryota; Apicomplexa; Aconoidasida; Piroplasmida; Theileriidae.